AAUAGAUACCCAGGUAGUCCACGCCGUAAACGAUGAGUGCUAAGUGUUAGAGGGUUUCCGCCCGUUUAGUGCUGCAGCUAACGCAUUAAGCACUCCGCCUGGGGAGUACGGCCGCAAGGCUGAAACUCAAAGGAAUUGACGGGGGCCCGCACAAGCGGUGGAGCAUGUGGUUUAAUUCGAAGCAACGCGAAGAACCUUACCAGAUCUUGACAUCCUCUGCCAACCCUAGAGAUAGGGCGUUCCCCUUCGGGGGACAGAGUGACAGGUGGUGCAUGGUUGUCGUCAGCUCGUGUCGUGAGAUGUUGGGUUAAGUCCCGCAACGAGCGCAACCCUUGAUCUUAGUUGCCAGCAUUUAGUUGGGCACUCUAAGGUGACUGCCGGUGACAAACCGGAGGAAGGUGGGGAUGACGUCAAAUCAUCAUGCCCCUUAUGACCUGGGCUACACACGUGCUACAAUGGAUGGUACAAAGAGCUGCGAACCCGCGAGGGUAAGCCAAUCUCAUAAAGCCAUUCUCAGUUCGGAUUGU
RNAcentral lists this ribosomal RNA (527 nucleotides) under uncultured bacterium. Its description in RNAcentral is "bacterial SSU rRNA". It matches the Rfam family "Bacterial small subunit ribosomal RNA", at positions 777 to 1301 of the family's 1533-position model. The record is from RNAcentral.